CAACUCAGCUUGGCUCCCUCAGGGGAGGAACCGGGAAUAAUUUGUGUGUGGAUGUUAAAGCUAACACCGUGACUAGGAGCAUUGGCGGCGGGGAGAGGGUGGUGGGUGCUUGGAGGCUCUGCUUCCCCUCGAAGCUCCCACCUUGUUGUGGCGGUUCCCGCCAGGGUGUUACCAUGGAGAUUUCUGUGCAGUGCUUGGCUGGAAUUACUCAGUGGAGGGAGCCACGUGCUUCAGGCUUCGUCAUCACACACCGAGCUCCGAGAAGAGGCUGGCUGGAUGCCGGUGGUCAGAGGCACUCCAUUCAAAUUUGUUGAAUGAAUGGAUGAGUUCAUAAUAAAGAGUACUUGGAUACCA
Long non-coding RNA from Canis lupus familiaris (dog), 354 nucleotides. RefSeq lists it as uncharacterized. The transcript is spliced from 2 exons. NCBI's taxonomy places the organism in Eukaryota, Metazoa, Chordata, Mammalia, Carnivora, Canidae. The record is from RefSeq and is a predicted model, not a curated record.